Molecule: microRNA precursor, 197 nt
Organism: Oryza sativa Japonica Group (Japanese rice)
Lineage: Eukaryota; Viridiplantae; Streptophyta; Magnoliopsida; Poales; Poaceae
Rfam family: MIR812 microRNA precursor family
Source: Rfam
AAUAAGUGCAGUUUUGUACUGCUCAUGUCUAAGUUUUAUUUUAAUUUUUAUUAUUAUUAGUACUUUUAUUGUUAGUAGAUGAUAAAAUAUUAAUAAUACUUUACGUGUGACUAGUUUUUUUUAAAAAAAAUUCAUAAAUUUUUUAAAUAAAACGGACGGUCAAAUGCUAGAUACGGAUUACCACGGCUACACUUAUU